GCACUGCUGAGGAGUCUCAUAAUGAGACGGAACGGCCGUCCAGUGC
This is a non-coding RNA of Schistosoma mansoni, 46 nucleotides long. The record is from Rfam. Lineage: Eukaryota; Metazoa; Platyhelminthes; Trematoda; Strigeidida; Schistosomatidae.